This 438-nucleotide ribosomal RNA is filed under the name uncultured bacterium. RNAcentral describes it as "bacterial SSU rRNA". It matches the Rfam family "Bacterial small subunit ribosomal RNA", at positions 342 to 797 of the family's 1533-position model. The record is from RNAcentral.
UCGGAGGCAGCAGUGAGGAAUUUUCCGCAAUGGGCGAAAGCCUGACGGAGCAACGCCGCGUGAGGGAUGAAGGUCUUCGGAUCGUAAACCUUUGUCUAGAGGGACGAUAAUGACGGUACCUCUGGAGGAAGCCACGGCUAACUACGUGCCAGCAGCCGCGGUAAUACGUAGGUGGCGAGCGUUGUCCGGAAUUACUGGGCGUAAAGGGCGUGUAGGCGGCCUUUUAAGUCAGACGUGAAAACCCUGGGCUUAACCCAGGACCUGCGUUUGAUACUGAAGGGCUUGAGGACCGGAGAGGACAGUGGAAUUCCCAGUGUAGCGGUGAAAUGCGUAGAUAUUGGGAGGAACACCAGUGGCGAAGGCGACUGUCUGGACGGCACCUGACGCUGAGGCGCGAAAGCCAGGGGAGCAAACGGGAUUAGAAACCCGAGUAGUCCU